Molecule: ribosomal RNA, 207 nt
Filed under: uncultured bacterium
Lineage: Bacteria
Description: partial 16S ribosomal RNA
Rfam family: Bacterial small subunit ribosomal RNA
Source: RNAcentral
AGAGUAGGCGGCAUGGUAAGUAAGAUGUGAAAGCCUGGGGCUUAACCCCAGGAUUGCAUUUUAAACUAUCAAGCUAGAGUACAGGAGAGGUAAGUGGAAUUCCUAGUGUAGCGGUGAAAUGCGUAGAUAUUAGGAAGAACACCAGUGGCGAAGGCGACUUACUGGACUGAAACUGACGCUGAGGCUCGAAAGCGUGGGGAGCAAACA